This 497-nucleotide ribosomal RNA is filed under the name uncultured bacterium. RNAcentral's name for it is "partial 16S ribosomal RNA". It matches the Rfam family "Bacterial small subunit ribosomal RNA", at positions 28 to 507 of the family's 1533-position model. The record is from RNAcentral.
GAUGAACGCUGGCGGCGUGCCUAACACAUGCAAGUCGAGCGAACAGAUGAGGAGCUUGCUCCUCUGACGUUAGCGGCGGACGGGUGAGUAACACGUGGAUAACCUCCCUAUCAGACUGGGAUAACCUCGGGAAACCGGAGCUAAUACCGUAUAAUAUCUUGAACCGCAUGGUUCAAUAGUGAAAGUCGGUUUUUCUGUCUCUUCUAGCUGGAUCCGCGCCUAGUUAGCUAGUUGGUAAGGUAACGGCUUAACAAGGCUACGAUGCGUAGCCGACCUGAGAGGGUGAUCGGCCACACGGGAACUGAGACACGGUCCAGACUCCUACGGUAGGCAGCAGUAGGGAAUCUUCCGCAAUGGGGGAAAGCCUGACGGAGCAACGCCGCGUGAGUGAUGAAGGUCUUCGGAUCGUAAAACUCUGUUAUUAGGGAAGAACAAAUGUGUAAGUAACUAUGCACGUCUUGACGGUACCUAAUCAGAAAGCCACGGCUAACUACGUG